AACGAACGCUGGCGGCAUGCCUAACACAUGCAAGUCGAACGAGAUCUUCGGGUCUAGUGGCGCACGGGUGCGUAACGCGUGGGAAUCUGCCCUUUGGUUCGGAAUAACAGUUGGAAACGACUGCUAAUACCGGAUGAUGACGAAAGUCCAAAGAUUUAUCGCCAGAGGAUGAGCCCGCGUAGGAUUAGCUAGUUGGUGUGGUAAAGGCGCACCAAGGCGACGAUCCUUAGCUGGUCUGAGAGGGUGAUCAGCCACACUGGGACUGAGACACGGCCCAGACUCCUACGGGAGGCAGCAGUGGGGAAUAUUGGACAAUGGGCGAAAGCUUGAUCCAGCAAUGCCGCGUGAGUGAUGAAGGCCUUAGGGUUGUAAAGCUCUUUUACCCGGGAUGAUAAUGACAGUACCGGGAGAAUAAGCUCCGGCUAACUCCGUGCCAGCCGCCGCGGUAA
RNAcentral lists this ribosomal RNA (449 nucleotides) under uncultured bacterium. RNAcentral's name for it is "partial 16S ribosomal RNA". It matches the Rfam family "Bacterial small subunit ribosomal RNA", at positions 29 to 523 of the family's 1533-position model. The record is from RNAcentral.